This 721-nucleotide long non-coding RNA is filed under the name Mytilus galloprovincialis (Mediterranean mussel). The record is from RNAcentral. Lineage: Eukaryota; Metazoa; Mollusca; Bivalvia; Mytilida; Mytilidae.
AAUAUAAAAAUUUCAAAAAUUUUGAACCAACUGUUUUGUCAGAAAAAUUACACUGGUUAUAUAGCAGUUUGACAAACACCAAUUUUGAUCAUUGAGAAGCUUAAUAUUCCUUUUACAACACAGAGUAAUUAAAACGUUUAUUUGACUUUGCAGAGUUAUCUCCCUGUAGUGUUAGGUACCACCUUAAAUUUUUGGUUCUCCUGUAUCCAAGAAAAUUCAUAUCCAACAUUUAUCAAUGAAUCCACAGUACUUGAUUUCAUAGUUUUGCCAAAGUCUGUUUAAAAUUUUUUACUCAAAUUUUGUGUUCGCCUAUACCCAUGAAAUGCUCAAAAAUAUAUAUUUUAACAAUAAUAAUGAAUCCACAGUACUAAAGGGGCACUAGCUGUCAAAUUCGUGGUCACCGAUUUGACUCAAAUUCUAAUAUUUAAUUUAUAAUAGUGUAAAACAUUUAUCCAAACUACCAAAAGUCUAAAAUAAACAGUUUACAAAGCAUGGGGUAGAUAAUAUGUAGGUUCGUUUUGUGUGUAUUUUAGUCCAGACGCCAUCUAAUUAACUAUCGAUUUGACCUCAGAUGACCAUAUAAUCGAUGUAAACAUGAAUGAAGAUAUGAAUAGAUUAAACCAACACGUGCAAUUGGAUUUCUUUUAGGUCUGUUUGGGUUUAUUUUAUAGAUUAAAAAUAUAUGUUUCUCAUUGUUUUAACCGUAUAAGAAUGAUUUUAU